RNAcentral lists this ribosomal RNA (548 nucleotides) under uncultured Glomeromycotina. RNAcentral's name for it is "SSU rRNA". It matches the Rfam family "Eukaryotic small subunit ribosomal RNA", at positions 548 to 1098 of the family's 1831-position model. Lineage: Eukaryota; Fungi; Glomeromycota. The record is from RNAcentral.
UUGGAGGGCAAGUCUGGUGCCAGCAGCCGCGGUAAUUCCAGCUCCAAUAGCGUAUAUUAAAGUUGUUGCAGUUAAAAAGCUCGUAGUUGAAUUUCGGGAUCAGAGUGUCGGUCGUGCCUCGGUACGCACUGGUAUUAUUGGUUCCUACCUUCUGAAGAACCGCGAUGUCAUUAAUUUGGUGUCGUGGGAAAUCAGGACUGUUACUUUGAAAAAAUUAGAGUGUUUAAAGCAGGCUUACGCUUGAAUACAUUAGCAUGGAAUAAUGAAAUAGGACGUUUGAUUCUAUUUUGUUGGUUUCUAGGAUUGACGUAAUGAUUAAUAGGGAUAGUUGGGGGCAUUAGUAUUCAAUUGUCAGAGGUGAAAUUCUUGGAUUUAUUGAAGACUAACUACUGCGAAAGCAUUUGCCAAGGAUGUUUUCAUUAAUCAAGAACGAAAGUUAGGGGAUCGAAGACGAUCAGAUACCGUCGUAGUCUUAACCAUAAACUAUGCCGACUAGGGAUCGGAUGAUGUUAAUUUUUUAAUGACUCAUUCGGCGCCUUACGGGAAAC